RNAcentral lists this transfer-messenger RNA (354 nucleotides) under Nitrospinota. RNAcentral describes it as "JACRGR01 sp016212275 Standard tmRNA". It matches the Rfam family "transfer-messenger RNA". From Rfam's summary of the family: Bacterial tmRNA, also known as 10Sa RNA or SsrA, is named for its dual tRNA and mRNA-like properties. Its role is to liberate the mRNA from a stalled ribosome. To accomplish this part of the tmRNA is used as a reading frame that ends in a translation stop signal. RNAcentral also lists the same sequence under 1 other name. Lineage: Bacteria; Pseudomonadati. The record is from RNAcentral.
GGGGGCGUACCGGUUUCGACGGGAAUGCGGAGAUCGCACCUGGGGCAUGCCGAGGGUUACGUCCUCGUAAAAACGUUAAGCGAUCACAAUCGCCAAUACUGAAUACGCAUUAGCGGCUUAAUCGCACGCUGACGUCCGGCGGGGGACUCUCCCGCGGUGUUUCGCCGGAUGCAAUACAAGGCGGGAUGGUUCCGGCAAGGCCGACGGGGGCCGGGACGAGAUAAAACGCCGGUGGCAUCCGACGCGGGCCCGCCUUCGGGCAUGGCGGAUGCGUCAUUAAAUACGAAGGAUAAGCAUGUAGUCCCGGCGGUCAAUGGUUUUCGGACAGGGGUUCGACUCCCCUCGCCUCCACCA